Canis lupus familiaris (dog) is the source of this 1058-nucleotide long non-coding RNA. RefSeq lists it as uncharacterized. The transcript has 3 exons. Lineage: Eukaryota; Metazoa; Chordata; Mammalia; Carnivora; Canidae. The record is from RefSeq and is a predicted model, not a curated record.
GCAUUUUCCCCAGCUACACAAAUCCUGUCCAGGGGACAGGUGCAUUCCCGCUACCCAGCCUUAAAUGCUCUCAUGGCAGGGCUCUCAGAAGAAAGGAAGAGGCCCUGCUCUUGGCCACUCCACCACCAAAGCCCUGAGGGGCCCAGCCUCUUCCUGGCAACAGAUGCAGCCGUUUUAUUAGAGAAUUAUGCCCAUUCCAUCGAUGUGAAAGGUUAAGCUUUCUGAUAACGAUGGAGGCAGCGGCUCGUGGUCAGGACGGGACAGGCCUAAGAACAGGACAGAAAUGACAAUCCUAUAUGGGCCAAGAAACCUACCGGAAGAGCAGGAGACAGACGAAGAGACUGAACACACGGAAGAAGGAACGAGAGGGCAUUUGCGUGCGCCCACCAGAAAAUGUGCAAGGGGCCGGGGAAGGUGCAUCUUAAAGAAAACAGAUUUUGUGACAAAAAAUACAGAUUUUGGCUUUUGCAAGGACUAAAUCCCCUGUGGCGCCUCAGACAAUGAUUUCCAGUCGGGAACCGUGGGUCGUCUUUGGACGAUGAGGAGGUGGCCCCACGUCAUCUCUGAGGGCUCCCGAGCCUUCCUACGCUGCGGCAAUGACCUCGGGGCACGGAGAUGCCCUGGACGGUCCGACCCCCGGCCCAGGGAAGCAAAGAUCCGGGGAUGAACUAGGGCAGGGGAACUUAAGCACACAACUACGUGACCAGGUGCAUUCUCCUGGGGACGGGAGACUCCAGAGCUAUCCUCAGGGCCCGUGGCUGCAGGAGUCUGAAGACCCGGGGCUCAGGGGCUUCCUAGGUCAGAAACGCCCGGCUCCGGGGCCACCUAACCCAGCCCGCGCCUCCCCUUCCUGCCCUCGGCAAGUCGGAGCCUCCAGAUGCGCGGGCAGAGGCCUCCCCUCCAGAAGUCCCUCGUCCCUCUGAGCCUUGGGCCGGGGUUUACCUGCUCACAGGCCCUGGCCUGCGGCUCCUCACGCCUCCGGUUCCACUUUUAGGGGAACACGGCCCGGACAGUCACUGUGGGCGCCGCCAUGUUGGCAGAACAACAACUUUAUCGGU